GGGUGACGCAGGAAGGUAGCUGUACCGGUUAGUGGUUAUACCGGAGCAAGCCCGUAGGACGACAUCUAGGCAAAUCC
RNAcentral lists this ribosomal RNA (77 nucleotides) under Staphylococcus capitis. RNAcentral describes it as "partial 23S ribosomal RNA". Lineage: Bacteria; Bacillati; Bacillota; Bacilli; Caryophanales; Staphylococcaceae. The record is from RNAcentral.